GGUAGGUUCCUUAUAGGGCGUAAACAUCCGCUAAGAACGGAUUUUACGAAAUUCGACCCCUAAGGGGAUAAAACGGGGGGUGGAAGUUUGUGUGAAAGCCCAAUUUUUUUAAAGUAAGAGACACGAAAUUUAAAAUGUACGUUCUUUAGAUGGUGAGAAGGUGACCAAAUAAUGUAUCUUUAGAAAUCAACUCUCUUUUGGAGUUAAAACGGGGGAUGGUAGGU
This 224-nucleotide unclassified non-coding RNA is filed under the name Melitaea cinxia (Glanville fritillary). RNAcentral describes it as "misc RNA ENSMCXG00005000567.1". The record is from RNAcentral. Lineage: Eukaryota; Metazoa; Arthropoda; Insecta; Lepidoptera; Nymphalidae.